Molecule: ribosomal RNA, 904 nt
Filed under: uncultured soil bacterium
Lineage: Bacteria
Description: bacterial SSU rRNA
Rfam family: Bacterial small subunit ribosomal RNA
Source: RNAcentral
GUGCGAAAGUUGAAGUGAAUCUCUGGGCUACUCAGAGAUGCUCUCAAACCUCGUGCUAGAAUGCGAGAGAGGCAGUGGAUUGCACGUGUAGCGGUGAAAUGCGAGAUUAUUGCAGGAACACCGUGCGAAGGCGGCUUGCUGGAUCGCAACUGACGCUGAGGAACGAAAGCUAGGGGAGCAAACAGGAUUAGAUACCUUGGUAGUCCUAGCCUUAACGAUCAGAACUUGGGGUGCAUCCCGUUGGGGGUGCGUCUCGUAGCUACGCGUUAAGUUCUGCGCCUGGGGAGUACGGUCGCAAAGACUGAAACUCAAAGGAAUUGACGGGGGCCCGCACAAGCGGUGGAACAUGUGGUUCAAUUCGACGCAACGCGAAGAACCUUACCUGGGCUUGAACUGCACCGGACAAAGGUAGAAAUACCUCUCCCGCAAGGGCUGGUGUAGAGGUGCUGCAUGGCUGUCGUCAGCUCGUGCCGUGAGGUGUUGGGUUAAGUCCCGCAACGAGCGCAACCCUUACCCUUAGUUGCCACCCGCAAGGGGGAACUCUAAGGGGACUGCUCCGGAUAACGGAGAGGAAGGUGGGGAUGAGGUCAAGUCAGCAUGGCCUUUAUGUCCAGGGCUACACACGUGUUACAAUGCAUGGUACAGACCGUUGCAAACCCGCGAGGGGGAGCUAACCGGAAAAAACCAUGCUCAGUUCGGAUUGCAGUCUGCAACUCGACUGCAUGAAGCCGGAAUCGCUAGUAAUGGCGUAUCAGAACGACGCCGUGAAUACGUUCCCGGGCCUUGUACACACCGCCCGUCACAUCACGAAAGUGGGUUGUACUAGAAGUCGCUGAGCCAACCGCAAGGGGGCAGGCGCCCAAGGUAUGACUCAUGAUUGGGGUGAAGUCGUAACAAGGUAACC